ACUGCUCAGUAACACGUGGCUAACCUACCCUCAGGACGGGGACAAACCCGGGAAACUGGGGCUAAUAUCCGAUAGGCGAGGAAUCCUGGAAUGGUUCUUCACCCAAAGGACAUUGGAAACAUGCUUUCUCUGUCGCCUGGGGAUGGGGCCGCGUCCGAUCAGGUUGUUGGUGAGGUAAUGGCUCACCAAGCCUUUAACCGGUACGGGCCAUGAGAGUGGUAGCCCGGAGAUGGGUACUGAGACAAGGACCCAGGCCCUACGGGGCGCAGCAGUCGCGAAAACUCCGCAAUGCACGAAAGUGUGACGGGGCUACCCCGAGUGCCGUCCGCUGAGGAUGGCUUUUCCUUGGUGUAACUAGCCGGGGGAAUAAGGAGAGGGCAAGACUGGUGUCAGCCGCCGCGGUAAUACCAGCUCUCCGAGUGGUAGGGAUGAUUAUUGGGCUUAAAGCGUCCGUAGCCGGCUUAGCAAGUUUCCUGUUAAAUUCAGCGACCUAAUCGUUGAGCCGCGGGAAAUACUACUAGGCUAGGAGGCGGGAGAGGUCGACGGUACUUCUGGGGUAGGGGUGAAAUCCUAUAAUCCCGGGAGGACCACCAGUGGCGAAGGCUGUCGACUAGAACGCGCUCGACGGUGAGGGACGAAAGCUGGGGGAGCGAACCGGAUUAGAUACCCGGGUAGUCCCAGCUGUAAACGAUGCGGGCUAGGUGUUGGGGUGGCUACGUGCCACUUCAGUGCCGCAGGGAAGCCAUUAAGCCCGCCGCCUGGGGAGUACGGCCGCAAGGCUGAAACUUAAAGGAAUUGGCGGGGGAGCACCACAAGGCGUGAAGCUUGCGGUUCAAUUGGAGUCAACGCCGGG
This 853-nucleotide ribosomal RNA is filed under the name uncultured archaeon. Its description in RNAcentral is "bacterial SSU rRNA". It matches the Rfam family "Archaeal small subunit ribosomal RNA", at positions 85 to 922 of the family's 1478-position model. The record is from RNAcentral.